AAGUACAGAUUUUAAGCAGUGUUUGUUUAAAAUGUUCAGCCUGCCAGUUAAAAAAGAAUACUCCUACACACCAGGAAUGGAGGGGAAGAUGGGCGAUAGGGGCUGCAUUCCCUGCUUGGAGGAGGGGGAGAGAAGCAAACAGGAGAAAGGUGUUUCCUCAGCAUCCCUCCUGCUGGAUGUGCAGCCCAAGACGUAUGCCACCUGCACUGCAGCUUUGCCUGCCUCUCAGGCCCCACAACAGCCUUCAGGAGCGUUUUGCACCCUCCAUCCCAUGUGCAGGUCAGCCCAAAGACAGCUUAGGUGCUCAGAGGGCACAAAGAAGGUGAGGAGGUAAGGAAACACUCCCCUCUAUACCCACCUCUCCUUACCUAAAAGCACAAUCCUUUCUCUAAUUAAGACUUCAUCUCUUCAGCUAACGUGGCCAAGGGGCACAUCAGUAGCAGGUGAAAUCCAGGAGCGGUGGUUGAGAUCUCCCUCAUCAAUGACAAAUGCAUCACCUCUGCUCUGGACACAUCCCUGCCCUGCCAGUCACCAGCCCCUGGAUUGCCACCUGAUGCUGAAGAGGCAGACAAGCACAAGCUCAUCCAGGAGGAGCAGAUCUUGAGGAACAUCUCCACGAGACGCAGGGGGCAAAAGAGGCUCAGUCAGUCUGGUGAAGACUCUUCAGCUUCUAGGGGGACAUGUCUGAAGCUGGAUGUGCACGGAAAGCGAAGUGAGCGUGGCCAGUCCUCACGGUCUGCCCCUGCCACUCGUCCCCUUGCUGCAGUGUGGAGCGUGGCAGCUAGCAGGGUGAGUGCAGCUUGGCCUUUUCCAGAUGGCACGAGGUGAAGUUUGUCCUUCCUCGUGUGGAGCUCCUAAGUGCGUAGGACACAGGUUUGCUGCAUGGCAGCACUGGAGAAUGGAAGC
Long non-coding RNA from Pogoniulus pusillus (Red-fronted tinkerbird), 906 nucleotides. RefSeq lists it as uncharacterized. The record is from RefSeq and is a predicted model, not a curated record. The transcript is spliced from 3 exons. NCBI's taxonomy places the organism in Eukaryota, Metazoa, Chordata, Aves, Piciformes, Lybiidae.